Monodelphis domestica (gray short-tailed opossum) is the source of this 7975-nucleotide non-coding RNA. The record is from RefSeq and is a predicted model, not a curated record. Lineage: Eukaryota; Metazoa; Chordata; Mammalia; Didelphimorphia; Didelphidae.
AGGCCCCCCUUUCCCCAGGCAGGGGAGGGAAGAAGCGCUCCCAUUGGGAUGCUGGGCAGAGGGGUGGGGGAUGGGAGAAGUGUCCUCCCCCUCCCACACACCUGUCAUAGGGUCCCGACGCUGUGGCGCCCCAGGAGAGAAGGGGAAAGGGUGGGGGUGGGGCCAGGGCGCUGGGUGGAACCAUUGUUCAAGAUCCCAGGGUGGGUCACUCGGGGUUAGUCUGGAAACUAUGACGAGCAGAGAUGUCAGAGAGCGCUUACGGGGUUAGAAAGCGCGUCGUCAUCCCAUUUUAUCCUUCCAACUACCCUGCAGGCGAGCCCUACUAUUCUCCCCAUUUUACAGAUGAUGUAACGGCCCUUGCCAGGGGAGGUGUCGGUACAGCACUAGUAUUUCCUGCCUCCGACUCUGCUAUCCUCGGCGUCCCACCUCGGGCCCUGUUGCGGCAUGGAAUGUACCACUGCGGGACUGGGGGGGGGGAGUUCUGGACGGGGCACACUGGGCAGGGAGGAGCUAGCAUUAGGGCAAGCACCUUCCUCACAGGGCGGAAUAUUUCAAAGGGCUUAGCACAACGCCAGGCCUCUGUAGGCGUCACGUACGUGCUUAUUCUCUUGCUUUCCUUUGAUGUGCAGCGAGAAGGCACCAUCCUUGGGAUAGGGAGUAGCACCCUGGAUAGAACCAUUGGGCAGGCCAUGGGGGGCGCAGGCAUAUGUGUACGAGGUAUUGGGGACUGGAGAAAAGGAAUACUGCGUUGUCUUGUUGGUUAUAUGAUUAUUAUCAAGGAAGAACACCAACAACUCUUUAUUGGCACCAGAGCCAUUUCCAAAUCAGCUCUCUGUGUGCUGUCCAAAUACCAGUGCAUUACAAAUUUGAUCAAAGCUUUUGCAUGCCACAGUCAAACAGAGGGAGAAAAUGGUUUUCAGGUAGACCAAUGAUUCUCAAAUUGUCUCUUCUGGACCUGUUUUCCACGUAUGUUGUCUUCUCAAUGAGGUGAUGUUUGUGCCGUGAUCCUGGGCCCGGGGGGUGAAGAGGAGUUUGGAGGAAUUGGUAUUCCACAGGGCAGAACCCUGCGAGGAGAGGGCAGUGCCAUUCCACAGGUAGGUCAAGUGUUUCCCUUCCCUACAGGGCCCAGGAACCAAACAGGUCAAGGUCACCUGGCGCCCAGACUGCAGGACUUCUGGAAUGUGGACCUCUGGCUUCUGGGUCAGAACUGGGAGAGGAGAGAGACAGAGAGUGAUCCAGAAGGCAGGAGAGGGGGCGCCCCAAAUGGGACAGCCUUGGGAUCUUCCCUCAUAUGUUUCCAGGACAUUAUUUCCCAAGUGCCCUGGCUUGAGUUCCUCAUCCUUGGCCUUUUCUCUCUUUCCUAAGGCCUGAGCCUAUUGGCCCAACCUGAGGUUCUGUUUCCUCUAUUUUCCCAUUCACCUCUCUGCCUCCCCAAUGCCUCCCUGAACACCUGCCUUCCCCGGGCCCUGAGAUGCUCCCGGAUGCCUGGACUUUGGCUCCUUUGCAGAAGGAGCUGGCCAAAGGAUCCCGACCCAUGUUUGUUAGCCUUGUUUGCAUGGGGUUGGGGAUUCAGGGCAGCCCCCUCACUCACGCUGCACGCAGAGCCUCACUGAGUAGUUCUGCUGCCCCACUGUGUUCCUGGCUUGGCAGUUGUAUUCUCCGCUGGCAUUAGUCCCCAGCCGGGACAGCUCCAGGUGCAGAACCCCAGGAUCUGAGGCCUGGGUAGAAUUCAGGAUUUGGCCUCUGUGGGCCCAGCUCAGUGCAGCCGGGGGGUAGCUCCGUGUGCCACAGACCAGAGUCAGGGACUCGCCCUCGAGGACCACCAGGGUCGAAGCGUUUCCUGGGAAUUCUGGUCCUUGAGAGAGAAAGGGGAGAGAGCCCUGGCCUUCCUUCCUCUCUGGCCCAGCCAGAUUUCCAAGCUUUCUUCCUUCACAGCCCACCGCCAAACCCUCCAGUUGUUUUCUGCAAACGUACCUGCCCUAUUUGCCCAGGACACUCUGAUGUUCAUCUUCUGAGGAGGGUCUGCAAUGGAAGGAGGACUGAGGGCUGAGGUCCCAGGACCCCACUUCAGGGAUGGUGAGGCUAGUCCCUUCAGUCUCAGAUACCAGAAUGGGAGCCCCAGGGAUUCCCUCCCUCCCGCCCCUCGCCCUUACAAGCGCUGGUCUGUGCCCUCUCGGAACUCCUGGCCCAUCUCCUCCCACCCUCCUCCCCUCGGGGACUCGAGCAUCCUUUCCUGCCUUCUCUCAGCACUCACAGAAAACCCGGAGCCUGACUGUUGUCUCUGUGCUCACUCCGGACUCCAGGAAGGUUGUCUUACAGGCUCCGGGAACUGUACAGGUCAAGGUCGCUUGGUCCCCCGAUAGCAGCAUCUCUGGCACGUGGACCUCUGGCUUCUGGGUGAGAUCUGGGGCAGAGAGAGGCCGUGAGCAGGGUGCCAGCAGGAGUGGUCCUCCCGCUGCUGCGUGCCUCCAGAUGACAACCAUGGCUUGUCCCUCUUAUGUCUCCAGUCACGACUCUUCUCUCUCCAUCCCUGGCUAUCUCUCACCUUCCCCGGGACCUGAGCCUCAACCCAACCUCAGUGUCUCCAUCCUUCUGACAGCCUCAGGGGCAUGCCCUCCCCUCCUUAGGGUGUCUGUCCCUUUGACGGUCCCCACAGGCCCUCCCACCUUGAGCUCCGACCCUCAGGUCCAGAUCCUGAGCCUUUUGCCCAUGAUUGAGGCUGUGUUCCAUCACAGAAGGGACCUAGCCAAGAGUCUGAAGACUGGCUCCCACGCUGGCCCUCUCCCGGGUACCCAUUAUUCCCCAGAUGCUUCCCUGGUACAAAGUGCUCACCCUCUACCUGGACAGACACCGUGUCAUCCUUGAAAUUGUAGGUCAGCUCUCCUUUCUUCAUCAGGAAUCGGUAAUUCCCUUGAUCGUUCUUCUGGGCUCGAGUAAUAGUAAAGGAGCAGUUGUCCAGCUGGAGGUCUCCAGUGAGGUGGAACCGGCCCUUUGCCCAGGAGUGGACUUGCUUUUGGGGAUCAUUGGUGGCCGCAAGGUAUUCCAAGUAGUGUACAUAUUUCCAGUAUCCAUGAACUUUCUUCUCACUCCUAUACUGUUGGGGGUAAUUGAAGGAGCAGGGGAUAGAGACACACAGGCCCUCCUGCACCCUCACUGUCUUCUUGACGUGAAUCCUAAACUCGGUAUUUUGAGAAAUGGUUCCUGAGAGAGAGAGACAGUCAGACAGAUAGAAGGAGGAGAGAGAGCGAGAGAGAAAGAGACAGACAGACAGAUAGACAGACAGACAGAUAGACAGAGAGAAAGGGAAAGAGAAAGAGAGAGGGAGAGGAGAGGGAGGAAGGGAGGGAGAGAGAGGGAAGGAGGGAGCGAGGGAGAGAAAGGAAAGGAGGGAGAGAGAGAGGAAGAGAGAGGGAGAGAAAGGAAAGGAGGGAGAGAGGGGGGAGAGAAAGAGUGAGGGGAAGAGAGGAAGAGAGAGAGAGAGAGAGAGAGAGAGAGAGAGAGAGAGAGAGAGAGAGAGAGGGGGGGGGGGGGGGAAGAGAGGGAGAGAGGGAAACACAAGUUGAUUUCUUGUUUCCUCAUUCUGCUCCCUAGCCUUUCCAGGGCCAGUUUCCUCCCAAACCUCCUCCUUCUCCCUCUAACUGCCUUCAGCGUUAUCUCUGCCCCUACUUACUUCUCCAGAGCAGGGGCAGCAGCAGCAGCAACAGUAAUAGAUCCAUGGUGAGAUCCAGGGCUCAGGAGAAGCCAGAUCUAAGUCCUGGGGCAGAAUCAGAUCCAAUUCUAGUCUUCAAGGAGGAAGGAACCGGGAGCUAGGGCAAAGAGGAAGAGAAGAACAGGAACAAGGGGUGGAGAAGAAUGGAAAAGGGGGGGUUCUCAGAAGAUCAUUGAGCCUGGUCUCACCAGCCCUGGCCCAGCAGAGACUCUGAGCCUGAUGAGAGGGAAGACAGACAGGAGGAGAGGGAAGACGUGUGGGAGGUGGCAAGCAUGCCCUCCUUCUUUCCUUGGCUCCUUGUGGCUAGUGGCCUGCUGUCCCACAGUCUGGAGGACUACUUCCACAGGAGACAGGAAAUGGAAGGGACCUGACCUGACAUGGAAAGGAGACCCCAUGCUGACUCCACAAAAUCCCUGUUUCCACAAAAAUUCCCUGAUGAUUUUUCCAGGCUCCUAAAGAGGUUCCCAAAGUCUCAUCCCUGGUCCUCUCUGGAAUGGAUGAUGAUGAUAGUUAUAAGAGAAACUGUAACAUUGAUCAUAGCAACAAUUCACAUUGAUAAAGUGAUUGAAAGUGACAAAAUGCCAUCCCUGGGAGGCAGAUAGUGAGGGCCAGCAGGAACAAACUACACAUUCUUGUAAGACAUCUUUUUUUUUUUAACCCAUAUCUUCCAUCUUAGAAUUUAUACUAAGUAUUAUUUCCAAGGCAGAAGAGAGGUAAAGGUUAGACAGUUGGGGUUAAGUGACUUGUUAGAUCACAUAGCUUGGAAGUGUCUGAGGGCAAAUUUGAACCCAAGACCUCCCAUCUACAGAUGGGACUCUCUUUCCACUAGCCAUCUAGCUCUUCCUGACAUCUUUUGUUUUUACAUCAACUAUAUUUCCCACUAUAUCCUUCCCCUCACUUUCAAGGAGCCAUUUCUUAUGAUGGAGAGGAGGAAAAAAAUUCAACAAAACGAAUGAACAUUGAAAAAGUCUCGGGGGGUGUUGGGUGGCUUAGUGAACUGAGAGCCAGGUUACAGAGGGGAAGUCCUGGGUUCAAAUGUGGCCUCAGAUAUGUUCCAACUGUGUGACCCUAGACAAGUCACUUAACCUCCAUUGCCUAUCCCUUACUGUUCUACUACUUUGGAACUGAUGCACUAUAUUGAAUCCAAGAUGGAAGGUAAGGGUUUAAAAAAACAAAGAAGAAAAAGUGUUCCGUUAUAUAUGAGAUUGCAUAACCAUAGUCCCUGAUUUCUGCAAAGACAAUGUUGGGGGGAAGCGAAGGGAUUAGAAAGGAAGAAAGAAGUUCAGUCUUUAUAAAUGGAUAGCAUUUACUUUUGUUGUUACCAAAGGUUUAAAAAAACAACAACAACCUACUGUUGGGGGGUGGCUUAGUGGAUAGAGAGUCAGGACCAAAGAUGGGAAGCCCUGAGUUCAAAUGUGAACUCAGAUAUUUUCAAGCUGUGUGACCCUGGGCAAGUCACUUAAUCCUAGUUGCCUACUCCUCACUGCUUUUAUGCCUUGGAACUGAUACUUAAUAUUGACUCUAAAACAGAAGGUAAGUUUUUUUUUUAAUCUAUUGUUAUAAACAAAAUAUUUCAUUGAUAUUUUGGGUGUAUGUUUUAUUAAGUUGGUAGUUUUCUGAUGUUGAGCCAACCUUGAAAAGCUUGUAGAAAACCUGUUUUGUCUUAACAAAUAACUUUUUUAUUGUAUCAUCAUAGUUCAUUAGCUGAUAUUUUAGCUAGCAUUUUUGCAAUAGAGAUGCAAAUUGAUCUUUCAUUUUCAACUAGCAAAAUUUGCCUAUCAUUUUCUUUUUUAGUGUUAUCUUUACCUGGUUUUAAAUCAAAGGCUCAUUAAAAAAAAGUAUUUGCUCCAAGUUUAAUUUCACAGUUGAAAUAUUGUAAAAUAUAAGUGUAAAAUCUUUACAAAUAAACCACUUACUACAUGAAAGCGGAAAAAUACAUUUCUAUUUUUAGCAGUCAGCUGCAAAAGUACAAAUCACCAGCAUCACUGCAGUUGGUUUUACAAUCUUAUGGAGUUUCAUUAUGUCAGAAGAGCUUUUAUGUUUCCUUCCCUUUUAAAUAGAUGGACAUUCCCUUUAGUUUUUACCCUUAAGAUGCUUUGCAGAACUCUUUGGGUGUUCUAUAUCAUUUUAGCCAGAAGAUUUUAAGUAGGUUGUCAUAUUACUGUAUGCAUUCGAGCAAUGGAUAUAUUACUGACUAUGGUUCCCAUGAAAUUGUGCCCUUAUUUGUAAAAGAUAAUGAGGGGAAAAGAACCUUAAGCAUUGCUGUUCAAAUAGAUUUUCUUUGUUUAUAAAGAGGGAUUGCUUUUGUUCAAAAAGAAAUGUGUCACUAAACUGUACAUAAGGAUCUCCAUGGCUGCCUAUCAAUUUAGAAAAUGGCAUAUUAAUAAUGUCUAUAUUCUAUUGCAUUUUAAUUUAUUUUAAAAAUAUUUGACUAAUUAUGUUUUAUUCUAGUUUGGCAUCCAGAGGUAUUUGACACCGCUGUUGUACCCCACUCUGUGAACUGGUCAGUCCAAUUACUCUGGACUAUUUUUGUUCAAUUGCACAUGGUGCUCAACCUCCCAAUACUGUACCUGUUUACUGAUUAUAAACCAGGACCUAUUUAGCAAGUAGCUCUGAUUUUGCCUUGCUAGCUACAACUCCGUCAAGAUUCUGGGGGUAUCCUGAGUGGUUGAGGGGGAUUCUUUUCUCCUAAUAUUAUGGCUCAAGACCAAUAAGGGUGUUUUCUGUCCAGUAUUAGCCACUAGUUACUAGACCUCCAGUUCCCCUUAACUAUUUAACUUAAAUUAGCUUUUACAAAGAGACAUUUACUUUGAAGAUAUAGCAACAACAGUAGUAUCAAUACCCCUUCUAUCCCCAAUACCUUGAAGGCACACUCUCCCUAUAUCAUCCUAGAGAGAGCUCAGAUUUAAUUCCGUUUCUACACAGUAUUUUUCCCACUAAGUUCUGGUCCAAAUGUGACAUAACUACUUUGUGAGUCCUCAAACUCGGCCAUCUCUGGACUUGGGCAUCACUGCUGCCCUGGAUUCAAAGUCCAACAUGGCUUUGAUUCCUGGACUUUAAGUGGUUUAUUCUCCUGAACUUUCAAAACUCACAUGUCCUCCUGGGCCAUAUACCUUUGCCCUCACCUCUAGGGAUCCAAGGGGUCAGAAUUCUCCUUUUCUGUGGGGUAGAAUGAUGAUGGCUCCAGCUUCAGAUUCCUGGACCUUACGGCUUCAGGUACCUUGGUCUGCAGGUUCUGAUUUCCCAGCCUGCAUCCCUCAGGGGCUAAUGUGUCUGUCUCCAGUCCUCCUGUUCUGAUUUUUCCAUCAUUCACCCCACCAAGCUGGAAUGUGUCCAUUUUCUAUGAAGUCAACAAAGGGGAGGGCAAGAGGUAAGAGCAAAUCCCCACUCCUGGCCUCCAUUAGCCAUUAUAUCAAACUCAGAAUUACUUGCCCAGUAGAUGAUGCCCAUCCAACAGUUCAAGAGAAUCAAAGGCAGAAUUGAGGAAUUCAACACAGACACAGAAAAGCAGUGACUCACAGGGUGAAACAAUUCCAGGAAUAUGACCUCCUGGCAGCAGAGAAGAGAGCCAACCAUGGAUUCAAGGAAGAACAAGGGAGAGCUAGCCCUAGCUAUCAAGAUGGUUCUCUAUGAACACAAUCACAGACAUGUUGGCUCUGCAGUACUUGAGGCAUGAGUUGUUUUGACCCUGAAUGUUCCUGACCCUUAUGCUUUGCUGAUUCUUUGCCUCAUUGGAUGCUUUUCCAUUUUUCUAAUGGAUGCUUUGUAUGUCUUUGGGAGAGUGUGCCACAAGUGCUAGGUGGUAUAGAGGAUAGUGGAAGGUAAGGGUCUAAAAAAUAUAGACACAAAAUAGAUGUGAUCUAAGUGACUUGCCCUGACUCAAAUAUCUAGUAGAGGGAAGAUGAGUCAAAUCUAACUUCAGAUAUUUCCUGGCUUUGUGACCUUGGACAAAUCACUUAAUCUCUUUGUUGUACAAUAAUCCAAGCUUUCAAAAAUACAUGUACAGUGAAGGAAUGCCUAUAAGUUUUCUUUUAAAAUAUUUUAUUUCCCCAAUUAUAUGUAAAAACAAUUCUUAACAUUUUUUAAAAAUUUGGUUCUGAAUUCUCUCCUUCCCUCCCUCUCCUCCUCAAUCUGCAAGCAAUUUGAUAUUGGAUAUAUAUGUGAAGCUGCUAGACAUAUUUCCAUGUCAGUCUUGUUGUGAAAGAAAACACAAAUCAAGGAUAAAAAACAUUAAACAAGUAAAAAAAUAGUCCACUUCAAUCUGCA